UGUGCCUAUUUAUCAAUUUGCCUCAUUCUCAUUUUUGUAAAAGAAAGCCCAAUGGUGUGGGUGGUGCUUAAACAGAUAGAAGGAACCCAGCGAAGGUUAAGUGUUACAAACUGACUGCUAUUCAGACAGCAAGCAGUACAGUGAAGAUUGAAGCUGCAUGACUUGAGGAUAUAAGAAUUGCUCUGUUAUUUCAAUUGUUUAGGACCUCACAUGGGAGAAGAGGUGCAGCUUGCGACUGCGGGGUCAUAUCAGCAAGCUGGUACUCAAACUUAUCAACUUAUGAAGCAUCUACCUUGUUUUAAUGUAAGAGUUCUAGAGCUUGUCUGCUUAGAGAGUCCGUAAACUGGCUGAUUGGUGUCUUUAUGGUAGUGUUUGAUGGCCUCAGCUGAAUUCCAUAUAGGCUGGGAUUGGGUUGUCUCUGCUUAUAAAUUGUAAUCUUUGAUUCCUUGCUAUUUUGGGGUUUUGUGUGUGUGUUCAGUUGUGCUGUAGCUGCUGUAAUGCAUAUAGUGGCUGCAGUUGUCUUGGAGCUUCUACAUAGUCAUUGCAAUUGAUUAACUGUUGCUUGUUGAA
Molecule: long non-coding RNA, 570 nt
Organism: Quercus lobata
Lineage: Eukaryota; Viridiplantae; Streptophyta; Magnoliopsida; Fagales; Fagaceae
Exons: 2
Source: RefSeq, a predicted model, not a curated record